RNAcentral lists this ribosomal RNA (468 nucleotides) under uncultured bacterium. Its description in RNAcentral is "partial 16S ribosomal RNA". It matches the Rfam family "Bacterial small subunit ribosomal RNA", at positions 28 to 507 of the family's 1533-position model. The record is from RNAcentral.
GACGAACGCUGGCGGCGUGCUUAACACAUGCAAGUCGAACGGAAAGGCCCUGCUUUUGUGGGGUGCUCGAGUGGCGAACGGGUGAGUAACACGUGAGUAACCUGCCCUUGACUUUGGGAUAACUUCAGGAAACUGGGGCUAAUACCGGAUAGGAGCUCCUGCUGCAUGGUGGGGGUUGGAAAGUUUCGGCGGUUGGGGAUGGACUCGCGGCUUAUCAGCUUGUUGGUGGGGUAGUGGCCUACCAAGGCUUUGACGGGUAGCCGGCCUGAGAGGGUGACCGGCCACAUUGGGACUGAGAUACGGCCCAGACUCCUACGGGAGGCAGCAGUGGGGAAUAUUGCACAAUGGGCGGAAGCCUGAUGCAGCAACGCCGCGUGCGGGAUGGCGGCCUUCGGGUUGUAAACCGCUUUCGCCUGUGACGAAGCGUGAGUGACGGUAAUGGGUAAAGAAGCACCGGCUAACUACGUG